AUGCACGCUGGCGGCGUGCCUAAUACAUGCAAGUCGCGCGAACAGACGAGGAGCUUGCUCCUCUGACGUUAGCGGCGGACGGGUGAGUAACACGUGGAUAACCUACCUAUAAGACUGGGAUAACUUCGGGAAACCGGAGCUAAUACCGGAUAAUAUAUUGAACCGCAUGGUUCAAUAGUGAAAGACGGUUUUGCUGUCACUUAUAGAUGGAUCCGCGCCGCAUUAGCUAGUUGGUAAGGUAACGGCUUACCAAGGCAACGAUGCGUAGCCGACCUGAGAGGGUGAUCGGCCACACUGGAACUGAGACACGGUCCAGACUCUUACGGGAGGCAGCAGUAGGGAAUCUUCCGCAAUGGGCGAAAGCCUGACGGAGCAACGCCGCGUGAGUGAUGAAGGUCUUCGGAUCGUAAAACUCUGUUAUUAGGGAAGAACAAAUGUGUAAGUAACUAUGCACGUCUUGACGGUACCUAAUCAGAAAGCCACGGCUAACUACGUG
Molecule: ribosomal RNA, 496 nt
Filed under: uncultured bacterium
Lineage: Bacteria
Description: partial 16S ribosomal RNA
Rfam family: Bacterial small subunit ribosomal RNA
Source: RNAcentral